RNAcentral lists this ribosomal RNA (110 nucleotides) under Jaculus jaculus (lesser Egyptian jerboa). Lineage: Eukaryota; Metazoa; Chordata; Mammalia; Rodentia; Dipodidae. The record is from RNAcentral.
GUCUAUGGUUAUACCACCCUGAAUGCACCCAAUCUCAUUUAAUUUCAAAAGCUAAGCAGGGUCAGACCUAGUUAGCACUUGGAUGGGAGAGGGAUCAGCAGUUAAGGAGC